AGCGGAGUGCCGCAGCGGUAAAGUAGUGGGACCGUAACCCACAGGUACCUGGAUCGAAUCCUGGUACAGCUA
Molecule: transfer RNA, 72 nt
Filed under: Salix viminalis (osier)
Lineage: Eukaryota; Viridiplantae; Streptophyta; Magnoliopsida; Malpighiales; Salicaceae
Source: RNAcentral